RNA transcript from Prunus dulcis (almond), 1483 nucleotides. It is a transcript of the gene named F-box/LRR-repeat protein At4g14103-like, with no coding region annotated. The record is from RefSeq and is a predicted model, not a curated record. The transcript has 3 exons. NCBI's taxonomy places the organism in Eukaryota, Viridiplantae, Streptophyta, Magnoliopsida, Rosales, Rosaceae.
AUGGAGGAAAUGGAAGAGGCAAGCAACCAAAACCCAAGCGCCACCAUUACCAAUUGAAACCUAAACGAUCUCCCAGAGGAGCUCCUCCUCCACAUCCUCACCUGUCUUCCCAUAUUAGAAUCGGUCCAAACCUCCCUCAUAUCCCAGAAAUGGAGACCCCUCUGGUCUCGUGUUCCCUCCUUGAACUUCCUCUUCGAACUCUUCCCGCCAUACGAGCCACCCUUAGAUACUCGCCAGUUCUUCGCCGAGUUCAUCGACAGCGUUCUUAUUCUUCGCUCCAAUUCUCCCAUCCACACUUUUCGCCUCUCUUUCAUCUACCAUGGUCGCUACCGCUCUCAUGUCGACUCUUGGGUUCGAUCCGCCAUAACCCGCCUUCGCACACGUGAGCUCUAUCUCGAUUUCUUCAUCCACAAAGAUUUUCAUGACGAAGAAACUCAUAAUCACAGGUAUGAUUUCCCUUUCUCUGUUCUGAGAAAUGGGUGCGUAGCAAUCUUAGGCCUUACGCGAUGUGAUCUUUCGUUGCCGGCUAAAAUGUCCACGCUGCGUUUUUGCUCGAUUGGGUCCAUGUUUCUCAAUGAGGUUUAUUUGACGGACCAGGCAUUGCGGGAUUUGAUUUCGGGUUGCCCCAAUUUGGAGGCUUUGGAUCUUGAGAACUGUUUGGCGCAUCAUCAUAUGAAGAUAUGUAGCGCAAAGCUUAAGAGGCUAGCACUUAGGUAUUUUUAUGAUUCUGAACUCAAAGAGACCAUUUUGGUUGAUUGCCCAAACCUUUGUUCGAUCAGUUUUAAUUGUUGUGCCUUUGACAAAUUUGUACUUAAGAAUGCGUCGUCCCUGGUUGAGUUUCAUGUUGAUAUUUUGCACAAAAUCGAUCGAUCCUAUCGUUAUUGGAACAAGGUUGUGAGGCUACUAGGACAAGCACCUAAUGUUAAGCAUCUUAAUUUGCAGAAUUGGUGGUUUAAGUUUCUGACAUCAAAGGAUUCUUUCCCCAAAAGUUUUAUGAUCCACAAUCUCAACCACUUAGAGCUACGGACGGGGUUUACCCAAUAUGAUCUGGUUGGCAUGGCUGCACUGCUUAAGCUUUGUCCCAAUCUCGAGACAAUGAUGCUGGACUACCAUUUCAAGAUAGAGGAAGAUGAGACUUUAUCAGAAGAGUUCUCAAGUAAACCAGUUGAAUUGAGCAUGCCAAGUCUCAAGCAAGUUACGGUGACAUCUUAUACUGGAACAGAAGAUGAAGUUAAUUUUAUGAAAAUCUUGAGUACGCAAGGAGUUGCCCUAGAAAAGAUUAUACUUGUCCGUGGCCAUGUUGGUGCAAAGUCGCGUGUUCAAAUGGUUCUAUAUAGGAAUGCUUCACAAAGUUGGAAGUGCUACUUACCAGAUCUCGCCUCCACGACACUGAAUUAUAUAGACUCUGAGCUUUUUAAACAGGGAAUCAAUUGGCUCAUUGAAAGUUGAAUCCCUUAUUUUUAAAUAAGAUUAAUUUAAAAUA